GCGGUGGGAGCACGUGGUUUAAUUCGAUGAUACGCGAGGAACCUACCAAGGCUUAAAUGUAGAUUGACAGGUUUAGAGAUAGACUUUUCUUCGGACAAUUUACAAGGUGCUGCAUGGUUGUCGUCAGCUCGUGCCGUGAGGUGUCAGGUUAAGUCCUAUAACGAGCGCAACCCCUAUUGUUAGUUGCCAGCGAGUAAUGUCGGGAACUCUAACAAGACUGCCGGUGCAAACCGUGAGGAAGGUGGGGAUGACGUCAAAUCAUCACGGCCCUUACGUCUUGGGCUACACACGUGCUACAAUGGCCAGUACAGAAAGCAGCUACCAGGCAACUGGAUGCGAAUCUCAAAAACUGGUCUCAGUUCGGAUUGGAGUCUGCAACUCGACUCCAUGAAGCUGGAAUCGCUAGUAAUCGGAUAUCAGCCAUGAUCCGGUGAAUACGUUCCCGGGCCUUGUACACACCGCACGUCAAGCCAUGGAAGCCGGGGGUACCUGAAGUCGGUCGCCGCAAGGAGCUGCCUA
RNAcentral lists this ribosomal RNA (519 nucleotides) under Myroides odoratus. Its description in RNAcentral is "bacterial SSU rRNA". It matches the Rfam family "Bacterial small subunit ribosomal RNA", at positions 929 to 1459 of the family's 1533-position model. The record is from RNAcentral. Lineage: Bacteria; Pseudomonadati; Bacteroidota; Flavobacteriia; Flavobacteriales; Flavobacteriaceae.